ACAGAGGGUGCGAGCGUUGUUCGGAAUUACUGGGCGUAAAGCGCGCGCAGGCGGCUCUUUAAGUCUACCCGUGAAAUGCCGGAGCUCAACUCCGUGCACGCCGGGGGAUACUGGAGAGCUGGAGACGAGUAGAGGCAAGCGGAAUUCCGGGUGUAGCGGUGGAAUGCGUAGAGAUCCAUGGGAACACCGGUGGCGAAAGCGGCCCACUAGGCCUGAUCUGACGCUGAGACGCGAGAGCGUGGGUAGCAAACAGGA
Molecule: ribosomal RNA, 255 nt
Filed under: uncultured prokaryote
Description: partial 16S ribosomal RNA
Rfam family: Bacterial small subunit ribosomal RNA
Source: RNAcentral